Molecule: long non-coding RNA, 1286 nt
Filed under: Coturnix japonica (Japanese quail)
Lineage: Eukaryota; Metazoa; Chordata; Aves; Galliformes; Phasianidae
Description: lncRNA (ENSCJPG00005006751.1)
Source: RNAcentral
CCCCCCCCCAGUUCCAGCUCCAUCAGCUCCAUCCCCGUGUCACCCCCUGGGAACCCCCCAGCUCCAUCAUAGAGCGACACCGGGACCAGAACCAGAACCAGAACCGGAACCAGAACCGGAACCGGAACCACAACAGCCCCCAUUGGUACCAUACAGACACCGGUACCAGCAAUACCAGAACCACCAACACUGGUACCACCAGAACCGGUACCAUCAGAACCGGUACCACCGGACCCAUCAUUGACGGCACCACCAGAACCGGUACCACCGGUACCACUGGACCCAUUGAGAGCACCACCAGAACCAGCCCUAUUGGUACCACCAGCCCUACCUGAACCAGCCCUACCGGAACCAGCCCUACUGGUACCACCAGCCCCAUUGCCAGCCCUACCGGAACCAGCCCCAUAGCCAGCCCUACCGGAACCAGCCCUACCGGAACCAGCCCCAUUGGUAUCACUGGACCCAUCAUAGCCAGCCCUACCAGAGCCAGCCCCAUAGCCAGCCCUACCGGAACCAGCCUCACUGGUACCGCCAGCCCCAUAGCCAGCCCUACAGGAACCAACCCCAUAGCCAUCCCUACCAGAACCAACCCCAUAGCCAGCCCUACCGGAACCAGCCUUACUGGUACCACCAGCCCCAUAGCCAGCCCUACUGGAACCAGCCCCAUAACCAGCCCUACCAGAACCAGCCCCACUGAUACCACUGGACCCAUCAUAGCCAGCCCUACUGGUACCAGCCCUAUAGCCAACCCUACCGGAACCAGCGCCACUGGUACCACCAGCCCCAUAGCCAUCCUACCGGAACCAGCCCUACUGGUACCACCAGCCCCAUAGCCAGCUCUACCAGCACCGGCCCCAUAGCCAGCCCUACCAGAACCAGCCCCACUGGUACCACCAGCCCCAUCAAAGCCAGCCCCACUGGUACCACUGGACCCAUUGUAGCCAGCCCUACUGGCACCAGCCCUACUGGUACCGCCAGCCCCAUAGCCAGCCCUACCAGAACCAGCCCCACUGGUACCACUGGACCCAUCACAGCCAGCCCUACUAGAACCAGCCCCAUAGCCAGCCCUACCAGAACCAGCCCCACUGGUACCACUGGACCCAUCACAGCCAGCCCUACCGGAACCAGCCCCACUGGUACCACCAGCCCCAUAACCAGCCCUACAGGAACCAGCCCCAUAGCCAGCCCUACUGGUACCACCAGCCCCAGAACCAGCCCCACUGGUACCACCAUCCCCAUAGCCAGCCCUACCAGAACCAGCCCCAUAGCCAGCCCUACCAGCACCA